RNAcentral lists this ribosomal RNA (478 nucleotides) under uncultured bacterium. Its description in RNAcentral is "bacterial SSU rRNA". It matches the Rfam family "Bacterial small subunit ribosomal RNA", at positions 1 to 469 of the family's 1533-position model. The record is from RNAcentral.
CCCUUAGAGUUUGAUCCUGGCUCAGGAUGAACGCUAGCUACAGGCUUAACACAUGCAAGUCGAGGGGCAGCAUGGUCUUAGCUUGCUAAGGCUGAUGGCGACCGGCGCACGGGUGAGUAACACGUAUCCAACCUGCCGUCUACUCUUGGCCAGCCUUCUGAAAGGAAGAUUAAUCCAGGAUGGGAUCAUGAGUUCACAUGUCCGCAUGAUUAAAGGUAUUUUCCGGUAGACGAUGGGGAUGCGUUCCAUUAGAUAGUAGGCGGGGUAACGGCCACCUAGUCAACGAUGGAUAGGGGUUCUGAGAGGAAGGUCCCCCACAUUGGAACUGAGACACGGUCCAAACUCCUACGGGAGGCAGCAGUGAGGAAUAUUGGUCAAUGGGCGAUGGCCUGAACCAGCCAAGUAGCGUGAAGGAUGACUGCCCUAUGGGAAAUAAACUUCUUUUAUAAAGGAAUAAAGUCGGGUAUGCAUACCCGUU